AGUGAACGCUGGCGGUAGGCCUAACACAUGCAAGUCGAACGGCAGCACAGUAAGAGCUUGCUCUUACGGGUGGCGAGUGGCGGACGGGUGAGGAAUACAUCGGAAUCUACUUUUUCGUGGGGGAUAACGUAGGGAAACUUACGCUAAUACCGCAUACGACGUACGGGUGAAAGCAGUGGAUCUUCUGACCUUGCGCGAUUGAAUGAGCCGAUGUCGGAUUAGCUAGUUGGCGGGGUAAAGGCCCACCAAGGCGACGAUCCGUAGCUGGUCUGAGAGGAUGAUCAGCCACACUGGAACUGAGACACGGUCCAGACUCCUACGGGAGGCAGCAGUGGGGAAUAUUGGACAAUGGGCGCAAGCCUGAUCCAGCCAUACCGCGUGGGUGAAGAAGGCCUUCGGGUUGUAAAGCCCUUUUGUUGGGAAAGAAAAGCAGCAGGUUAAUACCCCGCUGUUCUGACGGUACCCAAAGAAUAAGCACCGGCUAACUUCGUG
Molecule: ribosomal RNA, 492 nt
Filed under: uncultured bacterium
Lineage: Bacteria
Description: partial 16S ribosomal RNA
Rfam family: Bacterial small subunit ribosomal RNA
Source: RNAcentral